GACGUAGGGGACGAGCGUUGUCCGGAUUCAUUGGGCGUAAAGCGCGCGUAGGCGGUUUGGUAAGUCGGUUGUGAAAACCAGAGGCUCAACCUCGGGUCUGCAGUCGAUACGAGCAAACUAGAGUGUUGCAGGGGAGACUGGAAUUCCUGGUGUAGCGGUGAAAUGCGCAGAUAUCAGGAGGAACACCGGUGGCGAAGGCGGUUCUCUGGGCAUUACCUGACGCUGAGGAGCGAAAGCGUGGGGAGCGAACAGG
RNAcentral lists this ribosomal RNA (253 nucleotides) under uncultured bacterium. RNAcentral's name for it is "partial 16S ribosomal RNA". It matches the Rfam family "Bacterial small subunit ribosomal RNA", at positions 524 to 776 of the family's 1533-position model. The record is from RNAcentral.